UACAGAGGUGGCAAGCGUUGUUCGGAAUUACUGGGCGUAAAGGGCGCGUAGGCGGUUCGUUAAGUCCUGUGUGAAAUCCCCCGGCUCAACUGGGGAACUGCACAGGAAACUAGCGGGCUUGAGUUCGGGAGAGGGAAGCGGAAUUCCGGGUGUAGCGGUGAAAUUCGUAGAUAUUAGGAAGAACACCAGUGGCGAAGGCGGCUCACUGGCCCGGAACUGACGCUGAAACGCGAAAGCGUGGGGAGCAAACAGG
Molecule: ribosomal RNA, 253 nt
Filed under: uncultured bacterium
Lineage: Bacteria
Description: partial 16S ribosomal RNA
Rfam family: Bacterial small subunit ribosomal RNA
Source: RNAcentral